AUGCCACGCUUCAAUCCGAACAUUUGGAGGGAGCAGGAAUCGUUAGAUCGGGCCAAAGCAACGGGGCCGUACCUGGGAGAACUUGAUGUGGUGCUCGCCGUCGACUUGGAGGGAUCCGGAGACGAAGACGAGCAUGCCGCCCGUGGGGCCGGCGGGCUGGCAGUCGACAGUGACGACGGUGUGGGCGCACUUGGUGAAGGGGAGGGAGGUGAGCUUGGUGGCGAUGGCGGCGGCUCCCUGGAACUUCUCGCCCUCGAAGGAGAGCAUGGAGCCCUCCUGGUACAGCCCCACCAGCGCCGCCCGGUUGGUGUCGAACGUGCGGUAGUAGUGCUCGACGAACGCCUUCGCCACUGA
Molecule: ribosomal RNA, 354 nt
Filed under: Triticum aestivum (bread wheat)
Lineage: Eukaryota; Viridiplantae; Streptophyta; Magnoliopsida; Poales; Poaceae
Description: partial small subunit ribosomal RNA
Source: RNAcentral